UACGUAGGGGGCAAGCGUUGUUCGGAUUUACUGGGCGUAAAGGGCGCGUAGGCGGCAAUUCAAGUCAGCUGUGAAAUCUCCGGGCUUAACUCGGAACGGUCAGCUGAUACUGCUUUGCUAGAGUGCGGAAGGGGCAAUCGGAAUUCUCGGUGUAGCGGUGAAAUGCGUAGAUAUCGAGAGGAACACCUGAGGUGAAGACGGGUUGCUGGGCCGACACUGACGCUGACAGCGCGAAAGCCAGGGGAGCAAACGGG
RNAcentral lists this ribosomal RNA (254 nucleotides) under uncultured bacterium. Its description in RNAcentral is "partial 16S ribosomal RNA". It matches the Rfam family "Bacterial small subunit ribosomal RNA", at positions 524 to 776 of the family's 1533-position model. The record is from RNAcentral.